RNAcentral lists this long non-coding RNA (4430 nucleotides) under Sus scrofa (pig). RNAcentral describes it as "lncRNA (ENSSSCG00000052397.1)". Lineage: Eukaryota; Metazoa; Chordata; Mammalia; Artiodactyla; Suidae. The record is from RNAcentral.
AACCCAAAAAGUGGGUUAAAUUAAUCACUACCUAUGAUCAGGAGCUACGUCCCUUAGCUUUAGCAAAGGGAAUAUCAGAUGUAACUAACUGUCAUUCCCAUUCCAGGAGACCACCCAGAAGACCCACCCAAAUCAACAGCUUCACAAAGGUGGUCUUUAUCAGACGAUGCAGCGUUUUACUGGGAACCCUGGGGAACAUUUCAAAAAGCUGUGUGUGUGGUAGCGGGGAGGAGAGAAGAAAUACUGAGAGAUUCAGAAAGAUCACCUGUUAUUCAUCUCAUCUGUAGACAUUAAAACGAGAAACAGGGAAUCGGGAAGAAAGGAUGAAAACAUCAGCUCUAAAGACUAGUCUUCUAAUAUCCUGAGCAUUUUAUUUGGGUGCUUGGUCAGCAGCAUAAAAUACAUAUACCUUAAGAGCACCUGUUUAUUUAUUCCCCUGAGCGGAAGUACUGAGCCAGGGCCACCACCUGUGGUUGCAGCACCUUCACACCCGGACUGGUGCAGUGCGUAAUCUUCCCAGCUGUACGCAACGGUUCUGUUCACAACAGACCAGAAAUACAACAGGACAAAAAACUGGAAAACCGGGUUUUUGUACCAGGGACCCUAAUCCGUUAGAUUCAGAAAUACACAGAAAAUAUUCCAUAAAAGAUGCAAGCUUGAAAAAGUCUGAGGGCACACUUCGAAGCUUCCUUUUUCAUCCGCCUCUCACCAACGCAGCUUGAUGUAUUCAUCCCUCUGACUGGCACUGUAUUCAUCCCUAUCUCGAUUAUCUCUUUUCUUACUAAAAUGUCUAUGUCCAAAUAUACCUUCCCUUCACUUUCAUAUCAUCCAAGUCUCAAGAGUUUCUUUUUUUCCCUUUUUUUUUUUCCAGUCUUUUUGUCUUUUUAGAGCCACACUCAAGGCAUAUGGAGGUUCCCCAGUCUAGGGGGUCCGAUCAGACCUAUAGCUGCCGGCCUACACCAGAGCCACAGCAACAUGAGAUCCAAGCCACAUCUGUGACCUACACCACAGCUCAUGGCAACACCAGAUCCUUAACCCACUGAGCGAGGCUGGGGAUCAAACCCGCAUCCUGCUGAAGGCUAGUCGGGCUCGCUAACUGCUGACCACGAUGGGAACUCCUCUUUUCUUGAAAUUUCACAAUGGAAGAAUGAUUUCUGACAGCAAUAGAAACUGUUGCCUAACUCUUCCUUACGUAUUUUUUUUUGAUUAUCGGUUUUACGAAUGAUAUAUAUGUUGCCAUAAAAUAUUUUCCUCUUUUCUAUUUCAAUUGUUUGGAAGCUUGAAAAUGGCUGAAUAGAAAAGCAUCACGUCAUGUUGACAAAGCACAAUAGAUGUCUGUAAAGACGAGUUUUAAUUUAAGGCUUUUUUAUCAUUAUCAAUAUAAAAUAAAGAUUAGAAGUUUCCAAUUUUUAACAAAGUUGAAAAUUUAGGCUAAGAUGUUUUGUUUUCUUCAUUUUAUUCUCUGUAUCCAUAUUCUCUUGGUAAAUAUUUUUACAAAAACAUUUUGUUUCUUAUACCCCCCACAGCUCUUCCACAAAUAUUUAUAAGCUUUAGGGAAUGGGCAAGGAUCAAGGAUGAGAAUAGGGGAAAAAAGGGUAAUUCAGUUUAGUAUCUACAACUUCAGCCUGCUUUUCAUUUUUAAUAGCUAUAUUUUUAAGAAUUAGAGAGAUUCCACAAACUUAGAAGACGUGAAAAUGAGGAAGGUAACAUGCUAUUAAGUAGACGGCAAAAAAGCAGAGUUUUAUCUAAUAGAAGACGGACUCAGGAGCCUCAGCUUCAUACCUCAUCACCAGUCAACUCCAGCACUUUGAGGGCGAGCAGCAUAUCUAUGCUAGUGUUGUGUUGGACUUCCCAGGUGGCUCCCAGCAGAACUACUUGGCAUUGCUUCUACGCCCCAGUUGCAUCGAUAUUCAGUUCAGACAAAAAUGGAACAAAAGGGUGAGAAGGAACCACCAAAAUCAUUUACAAGUGUCCCAUGAGACUCAUGAAAAGUGCACAGAAAUAUCUCCUGCUGCCAUGAGCCUACUCUCUGCCAAGUUCCCCAACAGCACCAAGAAGCUUUGACGUUGAUCAGCUUCCCUAUCACUGACAGAGAUCUCCCCCCGUCUGUGCAAACGCUCUGCAGUGGAUUUUAAGAAUAUGGAGAACCCUUGCAGAGCCAAAGUAAAGUGCAAUAAAGUACCAUUAGAUUUGCUGAAAGGGGGAUGAGCUGAAAUCUAUCAAUCUAUCAACAACUGCCCUAAUCCAACCUACAUGUGCACUUGGAAUAUAGAACCAGGCAAAGGAAUAGUCUGCUAACUUUUAAAGUACCCUCACUUUUCCUGACUUAAACUUGGCUUAUAAUAAAUGCAUUUAUUUUCAUCUUCUUUAUCAUAAGUAAUACAGAACCUCUCACACAUGCUUUUGGAAUCAAUAGAAAAACCCCGAAACUUUCUUCUCUGAGACGCAGGCAGAAUGGAAGAGGGCAAGUUUAAGACGCAGGGUCAUGUGUUAUGUGCAACCCCCUCUCUAAAGCCUUUCGGACGGAGAGAUGCUCCCCUGAUCCUCCCACAUGUGCUGCUUCACUACAGACUCUGUUAAGGACGCGUGACCUUCCACACGGCGGCCACUGUAAACAAAGGGUAUUGGGGUUCACAUGCUCUUAGUCUUAGGGACAACCCCGCCUGCUUUGCACACUUUCUGACAAAAACAGGCAAAGAAAACAAAACAACAUAAAACACUCUGAACAAGUGGAAAUGGAAAGUUUCAUGAUUCUAAUGGGAUGGGAUAGACUCCUCUCCUUUAAAGCCAAUUUCCUUGCUUCCUAUUAGACAGAACAGUCACACAUUAAAAAUAUAUCAUUUUGGGAGAUGCUGUCAUGGCUCAGUGGUCACCAAACCCGACUGGUAUCCAUGAGGACACAGGUUUGAUCCCUGGCCUUGCUCAGUGGGUUAAGGAUCUGGUAGGUCACAGACAUGGUUUGGAUCUGGCGUUGCUAUGGCUGUGGCGCAGGCUGGCAGCUGCAGCUCUGAUUUGACCUCUAGCCUGGGAACCUCCAUAUGCCUUGGCUGUGGCCCUAAAAAGACAAAAGACAAAUAUAUAUUGUCUUUAUAAUUAUUUAUAUAUAGCUUUCAUGGGAAAGUUUAAAAAAUCAUGCCAAAAAGCAUGUGCAUCCUAGCGGUUUUAUUUCUGUGAGUCUUUCAGCGAUGGUGGCAUAUUAGUACUUUCUACUGUCCAUACCCCAGAUUCUCAUAAAACAGGAUAUUUGGGUUUUCUCUAACCACAGCAUUAUGAAAAAUUAAUUCAAUUCAAUGUAUGACUUUAAGUUAAAUUAUUAAACCCCAGUGUUCUUUGAAGUUGUUUUCUUUAUAUAUAUAUAUAUGUCAAGAUAUUCUAACGUGUCCCCUUCCCCAAACACAAAAAGCCUAGUUUCUACAUAUAUUGAUUUCACUACAUCUCAGCUUGUAACUUAUCUUCCUAUGGUAUCUUACCUAAAAGGUGCUAUCUCAAUAGCCCAAUGCUUUUUAAGUGACAAGGUUAAGUUCAAUAGUUUAGGCCUCUUCAUUCUUGAUACUGAGGAACUAUACAAAAAUAUUGCCUGGAAGUUCCUGUCAUGGCUCAGUGGUUAACGAAUCCAACUAGGAACCAUGAAGUUGCAGGUUCAAUCCCUGGCCUUGCUCAGUGGGUUAAGGAUCCGGUGUUGCCGUGAGCUGUGGUAUAGGUUGCAGGUGCGGCUCGGAUCUGGCGUUGCUGUGGCUGUGGUGUAGGCGACGGCUACAGCUCCAAUUAGACCCCUAGCCUGGGAACCUCCGUAGGCUUUUUUGCGAAAGCAAAAAAAAAAAAAAAAAUGUAUAUAUAUGUGUGUGUGUGUGUGUGUGUGUAUAUGUAUAUGUGUAUAUAUAUGUAUAUGUAUAGCCUGAUCACUGAAAGAUGCUUAGAAACAUAUUUACCCCUUUGAGGGUUAAAAGGAGAUAAAGAGGGACCAGUGGUGAUUUUUCCCCACCAGUUUGCAUCUCUCAGCUGGGUUUUAAGAGCUAUGUAACCAAAUAAGCAUAUGGAGACCACAACUGCUACAGUGUACAUAAACAAGAAAAAUAAUUCCAAUACCAUGCCCCAAAAACUACAAUAAAGGUGAAGGGACCAUUUAAUUGCGCAUCUGGCAAUGAUAAGAACUGAAAAAGGGAAAAUGCUCAGGAGAGGUUAACACUUGCCUCUGCAGUAAGAAAAGCAGAGUGUGGUCUUGACGACAUCACUGGGGGAACUUUGCACAAUGUUUUAAUCAAAACCAAGGCCCUGAAGGAAACUUUAAAGGAAAAAAAUACAUAUACAGAAAGAAACUUAAAAAAAAUUACGCUCCGCAGCUUCUCCUCUUGAAUUUUUCUCCAGAGGAUCUAACUUAAACAAAACAACUCUGGCAAAGAACAGGCUUAUUAUUCCUUUACAGAAUAUUC